GAUUUGUCGAAUACAUUUUUCUCCAAGCCUAUUUUUUUUUCUCAAAUUGGAAACAAGGAAGCGGAGAAAGCUUAUUGUGGAUUUUACCAGCGGGCAGUGUGUCUCCAUAUAGACAUAAACCAUAAUUAUAGUGGAUUGACUCCAAACUCACUAACAUUAGGAAAUGUACGUGGACAUUUUUUUGUAAGAAUGAAGCCGUGUACAUAAAGUCGUGUGAAUACAUCAUUUGGACUAGUUAAGGCAAUUAUUAUAAAUAAAUAUAGCGAUAGUUAAAAUA
Adelges cooleyi (spruce gall adelgid) is the source of this 277-nucleotide long non-coding RNA. RefSeq lists it as uncharacterized. The record is from RefSeq and is a predicted model, not a curated record. Lineage: Eukaryota; Metazoa; Arthropoda; Insecta; Hemiptera; Adelgidae. The transcript is spliced from 3 exons.